GAUGAACGCUGGCGGCGUGCCUAAUACAUGCAAGUCGAGCGAACAGACGAGGAGCUUGCUCCUCUGACGUUAGCGGCGGACGGGUGAGUAACACGUGGAUAACCUACCUAUAAGACUGGGAUAACUUCGGGAAACCGGAGCUAAUACCGGAGAAUAUAUUGAACCGCAUGGUUCAAUAGUGAAAGACGGUUUUGCUGUCACUUAUAGAUGGAUCCGCGCCGCAUUAGCUAGUUGGUAAGGUAACGGCUUACCAAGGCAACGAUGCGUAGCCGACCUGAGAGGGUGGUCGGCCACACUGGAACUGAGACACGGUCCAGACUACUACGGGAGGCAGCAGUAGGGAAUCUGCCGCAAUGGGCGAAAGCCUGACGGAGCAACGCCGCGUGAGUGAUGAAGGUCUUCGGAUCGUAAAACUCUGUUAUUAGGGAAGAACAAAUGUGUAAGUAACUAUGCACGUCUUGACGGUACCUAAUCAGAAAGCCACGGCUAACUACGUG
RNAcentral lists this ribosomal RNA (497 nucleotides) under uncultured bacterium. RNAcentral's name for it is "partial 16S ribosomal RNA". It matches the Rfam family "Bacterial small subunit ribosomal RNA", at positions 28 to 507 of the family's 1533-position model. The record is from RNAcentral.